RNAcentral lists this ribosomal RNA (468 nucleotides) under uncultured bacterium. Its description in RNAcentral is "partial 16S ribosomal RNA". It matches the Rfam family "Bacterial small subunit ribosomal RNA", at positions 28 to 507 of the family's 1533-position model. The record is from RNAcentral.
GACGAACGCUGGCGGCGUGCUUAACACAUGCAAGUCGAACGGAAAGGCCCUGCUUUUGUGGGGUGCUCGAGUGGCGAACGGGUGAGUAACACGUGAGUAACCUGCCCUUGACUUUGGGAUAACUUCAGGAAACUGGGGCUAAUACCGGAUAGGAGCUCCUGCUGCAUGGUGGGGGUUGGAAAGUUUCGGCGGUUGGGGAUGGACUCGCGGCUUAUCAGCUUGUUGGUGGGGUAGUGGCUUACCAAGGCUUUGACGGGUAGCCGGCCUGCGAGGGUGACCGGCCACAUUGGGACUGAGAUACGGCCCAGACUCCUACGGGAGGCAGCAGUGGGGAAUAUUGCACAAUGGGCGGAAGCCUGAUGCAGCAACGCCGCGUGCGGGAUGACGGCCUUCGGGUUGUAAACCGCUUUCGCCUGUGACGAAGCGCGAGUGACGGUAAUGGGUAAAGAAGCACCGGCUAACUACGUG